RNAcentral lists this ribosomal RNA (490 nucleotides) under uncultured bacterium. Its description in RNAcentral is "partial 16S ribosomal RNA". It matches the Rfam family "Bacterial small subunit ribosomal RNA", at positions 28 to 507 of the family's 1533-position model. The record is from RNAcentral.
GAUGAACGCUAGCUACAGGCUUAACACAUGCAAGUCGAGGGGCAGCAUGGUCUUAGCUUGCUAAGGCCGAUGGCGACCGGCGCACGGGUGAGUAACACGUAUCCAACCUGCCGUCUACUCUUGGACAGCCUUCUGAAAGGAAGAUUAAUACAAGAUGGCAUCAUGAGUCCGCAUGUUCACAUGAUUAAAGGUAUUCCGGUAGACGAUGGGGAUGCGUUCCAUUAGAUAGUAGGCGGGGUAACGGCCCACCUAGUCUUCGAUGGAUAGGGGUUCUGAGAGGAAGGUCCCCCACAUUGGAACUGAGACACGGUCCAAACUCCUACGGGAGGCAGCAGUGAGGAAUAUUGGUCAAUGGGCGAGAGCCUGAACCAGCCAAGUAGCGUGAAGGAUGACUGCCCUAUGGGUUGUAAACUUCUUUUAGAAAGGAAUAAAGUCGGGUAUGGAUACCCGUUUGCAUGUACUUUAUGAAUAAGGAUCGGCUAACUCCGUG